AAGACUAGAUGACACUGCUUGGCCCUGUGAAUAGAGCAUUCACAUUUAAAAAUGCCCAGAUGUAACUGUUGAUAGUGGCACCGUUCUCUGCAGUUUCUGCAGUCAGAAAGUUUUGUACCAUCAUAGUACUUAAAGCCUGAAAUAUCACCUCAACGCAAAGCAUUUAGCAGGGAACCUGGAGGUCUAGGCUAGCAUAGCCUCUGAUGCUAGCACUAGCAGCCAGCCUCAUCAAGCCACACUGGAGUGAAGAAUGGGGAAAGAAGAAAUCUGUGGCUCACAGCCAUCAAACGGCAGGGUAAAGACAGAAAGCUGUGGGAUCCAGCCAGUCACUACACCUACGUCUGUGGCAGGCACUUCAUCACAGAAAAAGAAAGCUCCCAGUUCAGUCUCUGCAUUAAGUCAGCCUGUCAGAAUGCUUCCCCAGAGAGUUUUGGAUUUGAAGUUCGUCCCAGCAGUUCCUCUGCUGGUGGCCCCCACUAGAGGAGUAAGGUCACAGUGGACCCGAGUGUCGAAACUUUCACAGAGCCUCCACAGAAAUCACGCACACUUAUUUUUACACAGUGUGUGUCAGUAAUGCAAAUUCAGUAGUCUAAGGACUGUCCUUCGAAUGCAACGGGAGGGUUC
Long non-coding RNA from Epinephelus fuscoguttatus (brown-marbled grouper), 624 nucleotides. RefSeq lists it as uncharacterized. The record is from RefSeq and is a predicted model, not a curated record. The transcript is spliced from 3 exons. Lineage: Eukaryota; Metazoa; Chordata; Actinopteri; Perciformes; Serranidae.